AUUGAACGCUGGCGGCAUGCCUUACACAUGCAAGCCGAACGGCAGCACGGACUUCGGUCUGGUGGCGAGUGGCGAACGGGUGAGUAAUGCAUCGGAACGUACCCGGUAGUGGGGGAUAACUACCCGAAAGGGUGGCUAAUACCGCAUAUACUGUGCGCAGGAAAGCAGGGGACCUUCGGGCCUUGUGCUACCGGAGCGGCCGAUGUCAGAUUAGGUAGUUGGUGGGGUAACGGCCUACCAAGCCUGCGAUCUGUAGCGGGUCUGAGAGGAUGAUCCGCCACACUGGGACUGAGACACGGCCCAGACUCCUACGGGAGGCAGCAGUGGGGAAUUUUGGACAAUGGGCGCAAGCCUGAUCCAGCCAUGCCGCGUGAGUGAAGAAGGCCUUCGGGUUGUAAAGCUCUUUCGGACGGAAAGAAAUCGCGCAGGCUAAUACCCUGCGCGGAUGACGGUACCGUCAUAAGAAGCACCGGCUAACUACGUGCCAGCCGCCGCCGUAA
This 500-nucleotide ribosomal RNA is filed under the name uncultured bacterium. RNAcentral's name for it is "partial 16S ribosomal RNA". It matches the Rfam family "Bacterial small subunit ribosomal RNA", at positions 29 to 523 of the family's 1533-position model. The record is from RNAcentral.